UACAGAGGUCUCAAGCGUUGUUCGGAUUCAUUGGGCGUAAAGGGUGCGUAGGCGGCGCGGUAAGUCGGGUGUGAAAUCUCGGGGCUUAACUCCGAAACUGCAUUCGAUACUGCCGCGCUUGAGGACUGGAGAGGAGACUGGAAUUUACGGUGUAGCGGUGAAAUGCGUAGAUAUCGUAAGGAAGACCAGUGGCGAAGGCGGGUCUCUGGACAGUUCCUGACGCUGAGGCACGAAGGCCAGGGGAGCAAACGGG
Molecule: ribosomal RNA, 253 nt
Filed under: uncultured bacterium
Lineage: Bacteria
Description: partial 16S ribosomal RNA
Rfam family: Bacterial small subunit ribosomal RNA
Source: RNAcentral